Molecule: ribosomal RNA, 253 nt
Filed under: uncultured bacterium
Lineage: Bacteria
Description: partial 16S ribosomal RNA
Rfam family: Bacterial small subunit ribosomal RNA
Source: RNAcentral
UACGAAGGGGGCAAGCGUUGUUCGGAAUUACUGGGCGUAAAGGGCGCGCAGGCGGCCCUUGAAGUCAGGUGUGAAAGCCCCGGGCUCAACCUGGGAAUUGCGCUUGAUACUCCGGGGCUCGAGUUCGGGAGAGGAGAGUGGAAUUCCCAGUGUAGAGGUGAAAUUCGUAGAUAUUGGGAAGAACACCGGUGGCGAAGGCGGCUCUCUGGACCGAGACUGACGCUGAGGCGCGAAAGCGUGGGGAGCAAACAGG